Molecule: long non-coding RNA, 6741 nt
Organism: Oncorhynchus keta (chum salmon)
Lineage: Eukaryota; Metazoa; Chordata; Actinopteri; Salmoniformes; Salmonidae
Exons: 18
Source: RefSeq, a predicted model, not a curated record
GUUAGAGACAGGUAGCCUAGUGGUUAGAGACAGGUAGCCUAGUGGUUAGAGGCAGGUAGCCUAGUGGUUAGAGGCAGGUAGCCUAGUGGUUAGAGGCAGGUAGCCUAGUGGUUAGAGGCAGGUAGCCUAGUGGUUAGAGGCAGGUAGCCUAGUGGUUAGAGGCAGGUAGCCUAGUGGUUAGAGGCAGGUAGCCUAGUGGUUAGAGACAGGUAGCCUAGUGGUUAGAGACAGGUAGCCUAGUGGUUAGAGACAGGUAGCCUAGUGGUUAGAGACAGGUAGCCUAGUGGUUAGAGGCAGGUAGCCUAGUGGUUAGAGGCAGGUAGCCUAGUGGUUAGAGGCAGGUAGCCUAGUGGUUAGAGGCAGGUAGCCUAGUGGUUAGAGACAGGUAGCCUAGUGGUUAGAGACAGGUAGCCUAGUGGUUAGAGACAGGUAGCCUAGUGGUUAGAGACAGGUAGCCUAGUGGUUAGAGGCAGGUAGCCUAGUGGUUAGAGGCAGGUAGCCUAGUGGUUAGAGGCAGGUAGCCUAGUGGUUAGAGGCAGGUAGCCUAGUGGUUAGAGGCAGGUAGCCUAGUGGUUAGAGGCAGGUAGCCUAGUGGUUAGAGACAGGUAGCCUAGUGGUUAGAGGCAGGUAGCCUAGUGGUUAGAGGCAGGUAGCCUAGUGGUUAGAGGCAGGUAGCCUAGUGGUUAGAGGCAGGUAGCCUAGUGGUUAGAGGCAGGUAGCCUAGUGGUUAGAGGCAGGUAGCCUAGUGGUUAGAGGCAGGUAGCCUAGUGGUUAGAGGCAGGUAGCCUAGUGGUUAGAGGCAGGUAGCCUAGUGGUUAGAGACAGGUAGCCUAGUGGUUAGAGGCAGGUAGCCUAGUGGUUAGAGGCAGGUAGCCUAGUGGUUAGAGGCAGGUAGCCUAGUGGUUAGAGCAGGUAGCCUAGUGGUUAGAGGCAGGUAGCCUAGUGGUUAGAGGCAGGUAGCCUAGUGGUUAGAGGCAGGUAGCCUAGUGGUUAGAGGCAGGUAGCCUAGUGGUUAGAGACAGGUAGCCUAGUGGUUAGAGACAGGUAGCCUAGUGGUUAGAGACAGGUAGCCUAGUGGUUAGAGACAGGUAGCCUAGUGGUUAGAGGCAGGUAGCCUAGUGGUUAGAGGCAGGUAGCCUAGUGGUUAGAGCAGGUAGCCUAGUGGUUAGAGGCAGGUAGCCUAGUGGUUAGAGGCAGGUAGCCUAGUGGUUAGAGGCAGGUAGCCUAGUGGUUAGAGACAGGUAGCCUAGUGGUUAGAGACAGGUAGCCUAGUGGUUAGAGGCAGGUAGCCUAGUGGUUAGAGGCAGGUAGCCUAGUGGUUAGAGGCAGGUAGCCUAGUGGUUAGAGGCAGGUAGCCUAGUGGUUAGAGGCAGGUAGCCUAGUGGUUAGAGGCAGGUAGCCUAGUGGUUAGAGCAGGUAGCCUAGUGGUUAGAGACAGGUAGCCUAGUGGUUAGAGACAGGUAGCCUAGUGGUUAGAGACAGGUAGCCUAGUGGUUAGAGACAGGUAGCCUAGUGGUUAGAGGAGGCAGGUAGCCUAGUGGUUAGAGGAGGCAGGUAGCCUAGUGGUUAGAGGAGGCAGGUAGCCUAGUGGUUAGAGGCAGGUAGCCUAGUGGUUAGAGACAGGUAGCCUAGUGGUUAGAGACAGGUAGCCUAGUGGUUAGAGACAGGUAGCCUAGUGGUUAGAGACGGUAGCCUAGUGGUUAGAGACGGUAGCCUAGUGGUUAGAGGCAGGUAGCCUAGUGGUUAGAGGCAGGUAGCCUAGUGGUUAGAUGCAGGUAGCCUAGUGGUUAGAUGCAGGUAGCCUAGUGGUUAGAGGCAGGUAGCCUAGUGGUUAGAGGCAGGUAGCCUAAUGGUUAGAGCAGGUAGCCUAGUGGUUAGAGCAGGUAGCCUAGUGGUUAGAGACAGGUAGCCUAGUGGUUAGAGGCAGGUAGCCUAGUGGUUAGAGGCAGGUAGCCUAGUGGUUAGAGACAGGUAGCCUAGUGGUUAGAGGCAGGUAGCCUAGUGGUUAGAGGCAGGUAGACUAGUGGUUAGAUGCAGGUAGACUAGUGGUUAGAGGCGGUAGCCUAGUGGUUAGAGGCAGGUAGCCUGGUGGUUAGAGACAGGUAGCCUAGUGGUUAGAGACAGGUAGCAUAGUGAUUAGAGACAGGUAGCCUAGUGGUUAGAGGCAGGUAGCCUAGUGGUUAGAGGCAGGUAGCCUAGUGGUUAGAGACAGGUAGCCUAGUGGUUAGAGACAGGUAGCCUAGUGGUUAGAGGCAGGUAGCCUAGUGGUUAGAGGCAGGUAGCCUAGUGGUUAGAGGCAGGUAGCCUAGUGGUUAGAGGCAGGUAGCCUAGUGGUUAGAGGAGGCAGGUAGCCUAGUGGUUAGAGGAGGCAGGUAGCCUAGUGGUUAGAGGAGGCAGGUAGCCUAGUGGUUAGAGGAGGCAGGUAGCCUAGUGGUUAGAGGCAGGUAGCCUAGUGGUUAGAGCAGGUAGCCUAGUGGUUAGAGGCAGGUAGCCUAGUGGUUAGAGGCAGGUAGCCUAGUGGUUAGAGGCAGGUAGCCUAGUGGUUAGAGGCAGGUAGCCUAGUGGUUAGAGCGUUGGGUCAGUAACCGAAAGGUUGCUGGAUUGAAUCUCUGAGCUGACAAGGUAAAAAUCUGUCGUUCUGCCCCUGAACAAGGCAGUUAACCCACUGUUCCCUGGUAGGCCGUCAUUGUAAAUAAGAAUUUGUUCUUAACUGACUUGCUGGUUAAAUAAAUGCUGAAACCCUGUUUUGUUAUUAUGUAGCAGUCAUAGUUUCUGUCUGGUUUAUAAUUACUAUCAAAAUGUCCCAAGAUAAUAUACAUCUACCAGUGGUUGCAGCAUGGUACAAUGCAACACAUUACUCUUAAAAUGUCACAAAAUAACUUUAAAAAUCAACUGGUGGUUGCCGCAUGAUACAACGCAACACAUUACUCUUAAAAUGGCACAAAAUAACUUUAAAAUCAACUGGUGGUUGCAACAUGGUACAACGUAACAAACAAGCGUUUAAAUAAAAAAGGAAAUCUCAUAUUUUGGGGCUACAGGGCUUUACAGGAAGUGCUCGUGCUUGGUUUUCAACCUCUUUGUCUAUUCCUUCCAGCAACUACUACUAUUGCAGACAUCACUUCAACGGUUGGCUCUUCAUCAGCCACUGGUGAGUUUACAUCAAUCCUCUCUGACUGACUGAAUUGUAACCAUCUCUCAUCUUAAUCAUAUAGUAUGUUAUAUACACUACCGUUCAAAAGUUUUGGGUCAAUUAGAAAUGUCCUUGUUUUUGAAACAAAAGCAAAUUUUUUGUCCAUUAAAAUAACAUCAAAUUGAUCAGAGAUACAGUGUAGACAUUGUUAAUGUUGUAAAUUACUAUUCUAGCUGGAAACGGCAGAUUUUUUAAAUGGAAUAUCUACAUAGGCAUACAGAGGCCCAUUAUCAGCAAACAACACCCCUGUGUUCCAAUGGCACGUUGUGUUCGCUAAUUCAAGUUAAUCAUUUUAAAAGGUUAUCUGAUCAUUAGAAAACACUUUUGCUAUUAUGUUAGCAAAGCUGAAAACUGUUGUUCUGGUUAAAGAAGCAAAAAACCUGUCCUUCUUUAGACUAUUUGAGUAUUUGGAGCAUCAGAAUUUGUGGGUUCAAUUACAGGCUCGAAAUGGCCAGAAACAAAGAACUUUCUUCUGAAACUCAUCAGUCUAUUUUUGUUCUGAGAAAUGAAGGCUAUUCCAUGUGAGAAUUUGCGUCCCUCUGCAACUGGAUCUUCGACAUCCUGACAGGUCACCCAUAGGUGGUAAGUGUAGGUAACAACACAUCUGCCACACUGACCGUCAACACGGGGGCCCCUCAGGGGUGCAUGCUUAGUCCCCUCAUGUACUCCCAGUUCAGUGCAUGGCUGCGCCCGACACCAGCACCAUCAUCAAGUUUGCUGAUGACACGACUGUGCUAGGCCUGAUCCCUGACAACGAUGAGACAGCCUAUAGGGAGGAGGUCAGUGACAGGGCACUGUGGUGCCAUGACAACAUCCUCUCCCUCAACGUCAGCCAGAGAAAGGAGCUGAUUGUGGUCUACAGGUAAUUAAGGGCCGAGCCCCCUGGGCUCUAGUGGAUCGGGUCGAGAGCUUCAAGUUCCUCGGUGUCCCCGUCACUAAGGAUGUAACAUGGUCCAGACACACCAAGACAGUCAUGAAGAGGGCACGACAACAACUUUUCCUCCCCAGGAGACUGAAAAUAUUUGGCAUGUGUCCCCCCCAGAUCCUCAAAAAGUUCCACAGCUGCACCAUUGAGAGCAUCUUGACCGGUUGCAUCACCGCCUGGUAUGGCUAAUGCUGGGCAUCUGACCGUAAGGCCCUACAGAGGAUAGUGCAUAUGGCCCAGCACAUCACUGGGGCCAAGCUUCCUGCCAUCCAGGACCUAAAUGCUAGGCGUGUCCGAGGAAGGCCCUAAAACAUUGGCAAAGACUCCAGCCACCCAAGUCAUAGACCGUUCUCUCUGCUACCGCACGGCAAGCGAUACAGGAGUGCCAAAUCCAGGUCCAAAGGUUCCUUAACAGCUUCUACCCCCUUGAUAAAAGACUCCUGAACAAUUAAUGAAAUGGGCACCCGGACUAUUUACAUUUUACACUGCUGCUACUCGCUGUUUAUUGUCUAUACAUAGUCACUUUAUACCUACCUACAUGUACAAAUUACCUUGGCUAACCUGUACCCAGUACAGUGACUCGGUACCGGUACCCCCUGUAUAUCGUCUCGUUAUUGUUCAUUUAUUGUGUUAUUUUUGUAUUUUUUAUUUUUUAUUUUAAACUUUAGUUUAUUUAGAAAUAUUUUCUUAACUCUAUUUAGUGAAUGGCAUUGUUGGUUAAAGGCCUUGUAAGUAAGCAGGUAGCCUAGUGGUUAGAGGCAGGUAGCCUAGUGGUUAGAGGCAGGUAGCCUAGUGGUUAGAGGCAGGUAGCCUAGUGGUUAGAGGCAGGUAGCCUAGUGGUUAGAGGCAGGUAGCCUAGUGGUUAGAGGCAGGUAGCCUAGUGGUUAGAGACAGGUAGCCUAGUGGUUAGAGGCAGGUAGCCUAGUGGUUAGAGGCAGGUAGCCUAGUGGUUAGAGGCAGGAGGCAGGUAGCCUAGUGGUUAGAGGCAGGUAGCCUAGUGGUUAGAGGCAGGUAGCCUAGUGGUUAGAGGCAGGUAGCCUAGUGGUUAGAGGCAGGUAGCCUAGUGGUUAGAGACAGGUAGCCUAGUGGUUAGAGGCAGGUAGCCUAGUGGUUAGAGACAGGUAGCCUAGUGGUUAGAGGCAGGUAGCCUAGUGGUUAGAGGCAGGUAGCCUAGUGGUUAGAGACAGGUAGCCUAGUGGUUAGAGACAGGUAGCCUAGUGGUUAGAGGCAGGUAGUCUAGUGGUUAGAGGCAGGUAGCCUAGUGGUUAGAGGCAGGUAGCCUAGUGGUUAGAGACAGGUAGCCUAGUGGUUAGAGGCAGGUAGCCUAGUGGUUAGAGACAGGUAGCCUAGUGGUUAGAGACAGGUAGCCUAGUGGUUAGAGGCAGGUAGUCUAGUGGUUAGAGGCAGGUAGCCUAGUGGUUAGAGGCAGGUAGCCUAGUGGUUAGAGACAGGUAGCCUAGUGGUUAGAGACAGGUAGCCUAGUGGUUAGAGACAGGUAGCCUAGUGGUUAGAGACAGGUAGCCUAGUGGUUAGAGGCAGGUAGCCUAGUGGUUAGAGGCAGGUAGCCUAGUGGUUAGAGACAGGUAGCCUAGUGGUUAGAGACAGGUAGCCUAGUGGUUAGAGACAGGUAGCCUAGUGGUUAGAGACAGGUAGCCUAGUGGUUAGAGGAGGCAGGUAGCCUAGUGGUUAGAGGAGGCAGGUAGCCUAGUGGUUAGAGGAGGCAGGUAGCCUAGUGGUUAGAGGAGGCAGGUAGCCUAGUGGUUAGAGGAGGCAGGUAGCCUAGUGGUUAGAGGAGGCAGGUAGCCUAGUGGUUAGAGGAGGCAGGUAGCCUAGUGGUUAGAGGAGGCAGGUAGCCUAGUGGUUAGAGGAGGCAGGUAGCCUAGUGGUUAGAGGAGGCAGGUAGCCUAGUGGUUAGAGGCAGGUAGCCUAGUGGUUAGAGGCAGGUAGCCUAGUGGUUAGAGGCAGGUAGCCUAGUGGUUAGAGGCAGGUAGCCUAGUGGUUAGAGGCAGGUAGCCUAGUGGUUAGAGGCAGGUAGCCUCGUGGUUAGAGGCAGGUAGCCUCGUGGUUAGAGGCAGGUAGCCUCGUGGUUAGAGGCAGGUAGCCUAGUGGUUAGAGGCAGGUAGCCUAGUGGUUAGAGGCAGGUAGCCUAGUGGUUAGAGACAGGUAGCCUAGUGGUUAGAGGAGGCAGGUAGCCUAGUGGUUAGAGGAGGCAGGUAGCCUAGUGGUUAGAGGAGGCAGGUAGCCUAGUGGUUAGAGGAGGCAGGUAGCCUAGUGGUUAGAGGAGGCAGGUAGCCUAGUGGUUAGAGGAGGCAGGUAGCCUAGUGGUUAGAGGAGGCAGGUAGCCUAGUGGUUAGAGGAGGCAGGUAGCCUAGUGGUUAGAGGCAGGUAGCCUAGUGGUUAGAGGCAGGUAGCCUAGUGGUUAGAGACAGGUAGCCUAGUGGUUAGAGGAGGCAGGUAGCCUAGUGGUUAGAGGAGGCAGGUAGCCUAGUGGUUAGAGGCAGGUAGCCUAGUGGUUAGAGGCAGGUAGCCUAGUGGUUAGAGACAGGUAGCCUAGUGGUUAGAGACAGGUAGCCUAGUGGUUAGAGCAGGUAGCCUAGUGGUUAGAGGCAGGUAGCCUAGUGGUUAU